AUGCUUAUCUGGCAGGGGACAUACCAGGGCGAGGCUUAUCUGUUACACUCCAGAUGUGCCAACCUCUGUGAGUUCCCCAAAUGUGGGAAAAUGGACUGCAUAAUUUGUGGUAGUGGGGGACUUGUUCUCACUCUCCCCUG
This 140-nucleotide small nuclear RNA is filed under the name Neotoma lepida (desert woodrat). Its description in RNAcentral is "U1 spliceosomal RNA". It matches the Rfam family "U1 spliceosomal RNA". From Rfam's summary of the family: U1 is a small nuclear RNA (snRNA) component of the spliceosome (involved in pre-mRNA splicing). Its 5' end forms complementary base pairs with the 5' splice junction, thus defining the 5' donor site of an intron. The record is from Rfam by way of RNAcentral. Lineage: Eukaryota; Metazoa; Chordata; Mammalia; Rodentia; Cricetidae.